This 252-nucleotide ribosomal RNA is filed under the name uncultured Ruminococcus sp. RNAcentral's name for it is "partial 16S ribosomal RNA". It matches the Rfam family "Bacterial small subunit ribosomal RNA", at positions 524 to 776 of the family's 1533-position model. Lineage: Bacteria; Bacillati; Bacillota; Clostridia; Eubacteriales; Oscillospiraceae. The record is from RNAcentral.
UACGUAGGGAGCAAGCGUUGUCCGGAAUUACUGGGUGUAAAGGGAGCGUAGGCGGGGAUGCAAGUUGGGUGUCAAAACUACCGGCUCAACCGAUAGUCGCACUCAAAACUGCAGCUCUUGAGUGAAGUAGAGGCAGGCGGAAUUCCUAGUGUAGCGGUGAAAUGCGUAGAUAUUAGGAGGAACACCGGCGGCGAAGGCGGCCUGCUGGACGAUGACUGACGUUGAGGCUCGAAAGCGUGGGUAUCGAACAGG